RNAcentral lists this unclassified non-coding RNA (263 nucleotides) under plant metagenome. Its description in RNAcentral is "partial contains small subunit ribosomal RNA, internal transcribed spacer 1, and 5.8S ribosomal RNA". The record is from RNAcentral.
UCUCCGUAGGUGAACCUGCGGAAGGAUCAUUAUUGUAUAACCGAGGUGCGAGGGCUGUCGCUGACCCGAAAGGUCGUGCACGCCCGAGUGCCCUCACACACAUCCAUCUCACCCCUAUGUGCACCUCCGCGUGGGUCCCCCUUUGGCUUGUUCGGAGGGGGGCUUACGUUUUCACACAAACUUUGUAUGCAGUGUAGAAUGUAUUUUUUGUUUUUGCGAUCACGCAAUCAAUACAACUUUCAACAACGGAUCUCUUGGCUCUC